AUGUUGGUCAGGCUGGUCUCGAACUACUGACCUCGUGAUCCGCCCGCCUCGGCCUCCCAAAGUGCUGGGAUUAUGGGUGUGAGCCUUUGCGCCCGGCCCAGAGCAUUCUUUAUAAGCAUUUGAAGGUGGCUCCCCCCAGUCCUCCGCCCCACGUGUAUUUUCCCCUAAAAGAAAACCUGCAUCCUUAACACCCCAUCUCUUCAGUCCUGAUGACUCCGGUGGGCCAGUUCUGCAUAGUCUCUGCCCUCAUGGAGAACACAUUCCUCCUGGGGAGACUGACAGAUGCAUAGACAGGAACAAGCCAGGGUCAUGUUGGCGCCGGAAGAGCCGACCGUGUUUGGCGUGGGAAAUUGACCUACCUGCCUGCUGGGAGAUGGAGGGUUGCGGUUGUGUGGUUUCAGUUAAGGAGCACUUCCCAGAGAAGGAAGGGAGCAGGAUGGAGUAGGAACUAGCCAACCCUAGGUCACCUUUGGCUCUUCAGAGAUGCAGGGACACACGAUGGGCUUCUCGUUAACCAAACUGAAUUAUUUGUGCCAUCUCUCAAUGUUGACGGACAGCCUAUUUUUGCCAAUAUCACACUGCCAGUGUAUACUCUGAAAGAGCGAUGCCUCCAGGUUGUCCGGAGCCUAGUCAAACCUGAGAAUUACAGGAGACUGGACAUCGUCAGGUCGCUCUACGAAGAUCUGGAAGACCACCCAAAUGUGCAGAAAGACCUGGAGCGGCUGACGCAAGAGCACAUUGCACAUCAACGGAUGGGAGAUUGAAGAUUUCUGUUGAAACUUACACUCUUUCAUCUCAGCUUUUGAUGGUACUAAUGAGUCUUGAUCUAGAUACAGGACUGGUUCCUUCCUCAGUUUCAAAGUGUCUCAUUCUCAGAGUAAAAUAGGCACCAUUGCUUAAAAGAAAGUUAACUGACUUCACUAGGCAUUGCGAUGUUUAGGGGC
RNAcentral lists this small RNA (944 nucleotides) under Pongo abelii (Sumatran orangutan). Its description in RNAcentral is "processed transcript". The record is from RNAcentral. Lineage: Eukaryota; Metazoa; Chordata; Mammalia; Primates; Hominidae.